RNAcentral lists this microRNA precursor (62 nucleotides) under Macaca mulatta (Rhesus monkey). RNAcentral's name for it is "Mml-Mir-584_pre stem-loop". The record is from RNAcentral. RNAcentral also lists the same sequence under 2 other names. Lineage: Eukaryota; Metazoa; Chordata; Mammalia; Primates; Cercopithecidae.
UUAUGGUUUGCCUGGGACUGAGGAAUUUGCUGGGAUAUGUCAGUUCCAGGCCAACCAGGCUG